UACGUAGGGUGCGAGCGUUAAUCGGAAUUACUGGGCGUAAAGCGUGCGCAGGCGGUUCGUUAAGUUUGUUGUGAAAGCCCCGGGCUCAACCUGGGAAUGGCAAUGGAAACUGGCGAGCUUGAGUGUGGCAGAGGGGGGUGGAAUUCCGCGUGUAGCAGUGAAAUGCGUAGAGAUGCGGAGGAACACCGAUGGCGAAGGCAGCCCCCUGGGCCAACACUGACGCUCAGGCACGAAAGCGUGGGGAGCAAACAGG
RNAcentral lists this ribosomal RNA (253 nucleotides) under uncultured bacterium. Its description in RNAcentral is "partial 16S ribosomal RNA". It matches the Rfam family "Bacterial small subunit ribosomal RNA", at positions 524 to 776 of the family's 1533-position model. The record is from RNAcentral.